RNAcentral lists this ribosomal RNA (441 nucleotides) under Blastocystis sp. Its description in RNAcentral is "SSU rRNA". It matches the Rfam family "Eukaryotic small subunit ribosomal RNA", at positions 50 to 591 of the family's 1831-position model. Lineage: Eukaryota; Bigyra; Opalinata; Blastocystidae. The record is from RNAcentral.
CCUGCAUGUGUAGUAUAAAAUUACUUUGAACUGCGAAUGGCUCAUUAUAUCAGUAUAGUUUAUUAGAACUCUAUGGAUAACCGUAGUAAUUCUAGGGCUAAUACAUGAAUAAAUGAAGUGUGUUAUUAAUGAAACCUUAGUGAGUAAUAAUAUUCGUAUCGUAUGGAUAACGAUAUUCUUUCAAGUUUCUGCUAUCACUUUGAUGGUAUAUAUGGACUACCAUGGCGUAACGGGUAACGAAGAAUUUGGGUUCGUUUUCGGAGAGGGAGCCGAGAGAUGGCUACCACAUCCAAGGAAGGCAGCAGGCGCGUAAAUUCCCAAUCCUGACAUAGGGAGGUAGAAAUAAACAAUGCGGAACUUUUUUAAUUGGAUUGAGAACAUGUACAUGUUAUCGAUAAACAUUGGAGGCAAGUCGGUGCCAGCAGCCGCGGUAAUCCACUC